GGUUUAUACAAAGAGAAGCAAAUCUGUAAAGACAAGCAAACCUCAUAAAGUAAAUCGUAGUCCGGACUGGAGUCUGCAACUCGACUCCACGAAGUCGGAAUCGCUAGUAAUCGUGGAUCAGAAUGCCACGGUGAAUACGUUCCCGGGCCUUGUACACACCGCCCGUCACACCAUCGGGAGUGGGUUGCAAAAGAAGCAGAUUUCCUAACCCCGAAAGUGGAAGGGGUCUACCACUUUGUGAUUCAUGACUGGGGUGAAGUCGUAACAAGGUAACCGUAGGGGAACCUGCGGUUGGAUCACCUCCU
Molecule: ribosomal RNA, 305 nt
Filed under: uncultured Buchnera sp.
Lineage: Bacteria; Pseudomonadati; Pseudomonadota; Gammaproteobacteria; Enterobacterales; Erwiniaceae
Description: partial 16S ribosomal RNA
Rfam family: Bacterial small subunit ribosomal RNA
Source: RNAcentral